RNAcentral lists this ribosomal RNA (459 nucleotides) under uncultured bacterium. Its description in RNAcentral is "partial 16S ribosomal RNA". It matches the Rfam family "Bacterial small subunit ribosomal RNA", at positions 338 to 795 of the family's 1533-position model. The record is from RNAcentral.
CCUACGGGUGGCUGCAGUGAGGAAUAUUGGUCAAUGGGCGCGAGCCUGAACCAGCCAAGUCGCGUGAGGGAAGACGGUCCUAGGGAUUGUAAACCUCUUUUGUCGGGGAGCAAAAGACGCCACGCGUGGCUGUCCGAGAGUACCCGAAGAAAAAGCAUCGGAUAACUCCGUGGCAGCAGCCGCGGUAAUACGGGGGAUGCGAGCGUUAGCCGGAUUUAUUGGGUUUAAGGGGUGAGCAGGCGGAAGAUCAAGUCAGCGGUAAAAUUGAGAGGCUCAACCUCGUCGAGCCGUUGAAACUGGUUUUCUUGAGUGUGCGAGAAGUAUGCGGAAUGCGUGGUGUAGCGGUGAAAUGCAUAGAUAUCACGCAGAACUCCGAUUGCGAAGGCAGCAUACCGGCGCUCAACUGACGCUCAUGCACGAAAGUGUGGGUAUCGAACAGGAUUAGAUACCCGAGUAGUC